This 253-nucleotide ribosomal RNA is filed under the name uncultured bacterium. RNAcentral's name for it is "partial 16S ribosomal RNA". It matches the Rfam family "Bacterial small subunit ribosomal RNA", at positions 524 to 776 of the family's 1533-position model. The record is from RNAcentral.
GACGAACCGUCCAAACGUUAUUCGGAAUCACUGGGCUUAAAGGGUGCGUAGGCGGCCAUGUAAGUGAGGUGUGAAAUCCCUCGGCUCAACCGAGGAACUGCGCUUCAUACUGCAUGGCUUGAGGGAGACAGGGGUAAGCGGAACUGAUGGUGGAGCGGUGAAAUGCGUUGAUAUCAUCAGGAACACCGGUGGCGAAAGCGGCUUACUGGGUCUCUUCUGACGCUGAGGUACGAAAGCUAGGGUAGCGAACGGG